Molecule: ribosomal RNA, 480 nt
Filed under: uncultured bacterium
Lineage: Bacteria
Description: partial 16S ribosomal RNA
Rfam family: Bacterial small subunit ribosomal RNA
Source: RNAcentral
GAUGAACGCUGGCGGCGUGCUUAACACAUGCAAGUCGAGCGAUGAAGUUUCCUUCGGGAAACGGAUUAGCGGCGGACGGGUGAGUAACACGUGGGUAACCUGCCUCAUAGAGUGGAAUAGCCUUCCGAAAGGAAGAUUAAUACCGCAUAACGUUGAAAGAUGGCAUCAUCAUUCAACCAAAGGAGCAAUCCGCUAUGAGAUGGACCCGCGGCGCAUUAGCUAGUUGGUGGGGUAACGGCCUACCAAGGCGACGAUGCGUAGCCGACCUGAGAGGGUGAUCGGCCACAUUGGGACUGAGACACGGCCCAGACUCCUACGGGAGGCAGCAGUGGGGAAUAUUGCACAAUGGGGGAAACCCUGAUGCAGCAACGCCGCGUGAGUGAUGAAGGUUUUCGGAUCGUAAAGCUCUGUCUUAGGGGACGAUAAUGACGGUACUCAAGGAGGAAGCCACGGCUAACUACGUGCCAGCCGCCGCGGUAA